Non-coding RNA from Acanthosepion pharaonis, 108 nucleotides. Lineage: Eukaryota; Metazoa; Mollusca; Cephalopoda; Sepiida; Sepiidae. The record is from the annotation of a GenBank genome assembly.
UUACGGCCAUAUCACGUUGAAACACCGGUUCUCGUCCGGUCACCGAAGUUAAGCAACAUCAUUAAAUACCUAGAUGGGUGACCGCUUGAGAAUCCCAGGUACUGUAAG